UACAGAGACUGCAAGCGUUAUUCGGAUUCACUGGGCGUAAGGGUGCGCAGGCGGUUGGGUGUUUCAGAUGUGAAAUCCCGAGGCUUAACCUCGGAACUGCGUCUGAAACUACUCGACUAGAGUACUGGAGAGGGUAACGGAAUUCACGGUGUAGCAGUGAAAUGCGUAGAUAUCGUGAGGAACACCAGAGGCGAAGGCGGUUACCUGGACAUUUCCUGACGCUGAGGCACGAAAGCCAGGGGAGCAAACGGG
Molecule: ribosomal RNA, 252 nt
Filed under: uncultured bacterium
Lineage: Bacteria
Description: partial 16S ribosomal RNA
Rfam family: Bacterial small subunit ribosomal RNA
Source: RNAcentral